This 471-nucleotide ribosomal RNA is filed under the name uncultured Leahibacter sp. Its description in RNAcentral is "bacterial SSU rRNA". It matches the Rfam family "Bacterial small subunit ribosomal RNA", at positions 1 to 526 of the family's 1533-position model. The record is from RNAcentral. Lineage: Bacteria; Pseudomonadati; Pseudomonadota; Alphaproteobacteria; Acetobacterales; Acetobacteraceae.
UAGAGUUUGAUCAUGGCUCAGGAUAAACGCUGGCGGCGUGCCUUAAACAUGCAAGUCGAACGGUGUCCGCAAGGGCACAGUGGCAGACGGCUGAGUAACACGUAAGUAAUCCGUCCUCGAGUGGGGAAUAACUGCGAGAAACCGUAGCUAAUACCGCAUAGGCUCGUUAGCACACAAGUGUUAGAGAGUAAAGCCGAGAGGUGCUUGGGGGAGAGCUUGCGUCCGAUUAGCUAGUUGGUAGGGUAAAGGCCUACCAAGGCGACGAUCGGUAGCUGGUCUGAGAGGAUGAUCAGCCAGACUGGGACUGAGAUACGGCCCAGACUCCUACGGGAGGCAGCAGUUAGGAAUUUUGGGCAAUGGGCGAAAGCCUGACCCAGCAACGCCGCGUGGGUGAAGAUUUCUGUGGGAAGAUGAUGACGGUACCCAAGGAAUAAGUCACGGCAAACUACUUGCCAGCCGCCGCGGUAAUAC